Long non-coding RNA from Myotis daubentonii (Daubenton's bat), 558 nucleotides. RefSeq lists it as uncharacterized. The record is from RefSeq and is a predicted model, not a curated record. NCBI's taxonomy places the organism in Eukaryota, Metazoa, Chordata, Mammalia, Chiroptera, Vespertilionidae.
CGGGAGGGGCACUGGGGCAACUUUUUGGUUGGCUGCCUCCGGCGCUGACAGCCCAGGCCCCUUUUAAACUUGGUUUCUCUGGCGCCCUCCCCUUUCGGCCGCGGCGCGCGACUUGGGCUCAGUCCAGUUCAGGAUGCUGACAAACUUCAGGGCUGGUGCUGCUGGAGAGACACAAUUGUGCCGGAAAGAAGCUUUUCAAGUAGAUAAGGUGUAUGUGAACAGGUGAUGGUUGAUAUAUGCAAAACAGAGGCUUUUGCUUUCUUUGUCCCUUUUACCCUAACACAGCGGUUCUCAACCUGUGGGUCGCGACCCCUUUGGCGGUCGAACGACCCUUUCACAGGGGUCGCCUAAGACCAUCCUGCAUAUCAGAUAUUUACAUUACGAUUCAUAACAGUAGCAACAUUAGAGUUAUGAAGUAGCAACGAAAACAAUUUUAUGGUUGGGUCACAACAUGAGGAGCUGUAUUUAGAAGGCCAGAAGGUUGAGAACUACUGCGCUAACAGCUGGGGUGAGUUGCGGGGGGGGGGGGGGGGGGCAGGUUUCUGUUAGAGCAUAUAU